GAUGAACGCUGGCGGCGUGCUUAACACAUGCAAGUCGAACGGAAAGGCUCCUGCUUGCAGGGGUACUCGAGUGGCGAACGGGUGAGUAACACGUGGGUGAUCUGCCCUGCACUUCGGGAUAAGCCUGGGAAACUGGGUCUAAUACCGGAUAGGACGAUGGUUUGGAUGCCAUUGUGGAAAGUUUUUUCGGUGUGGGAUGAGCUCGCGGCCUAUCAGCUUGUUGGUGGGGUAAUGGCCUACCAAGGCGUCGACGGGUAGCCGGCCUGAGAGGGUGUACGGCCACAUUGGGACUGAGAUACGGCCCAGACUCCUACGGGAGGCAGCAGUGGGGAAUAUUGCACAAUGGGCGCAAGCCUGAUGCAGCGACGCCGCGUGGGGGAUGACGGCCUUCGGGUUGUAAACUCCUUUCGCUAGGGACGAAGCGCAAGUGACGGUACCUGGAGAAGAAGCACCUGCUAACUACGUG
Molecule: ribosomal RNA, 466 nt
Filed under: uncultured bacterium
Lineage: Bacteria
Description: partial 16S ribosomal RNA
Rfam family: Bacterial small subunit ribosomal RNA
Source: RNAcentral